RNAcentral lists this ribosomal RNA (465 nucleotides) under uncultured Klebsiella sp. Its description in RNAcentral is "bacterial SSU rRNA". It matches the Rfam family "Bacterial small subunit ribosomal RNA", at positions 338 to 795 of the family's 1533-position model. Lineage: Bacteria; Pseudomonadati; Pseudomonadota; Gammaproteobacteria; Enterobacterales; Enterobacteriaceae. The record is from RNAcentral.
CCUACGGGGGGCAGCAGUGGGGAAUAUUGCACAAUGGGCGCAAGCCUGAUGCAGCCAUGCCGCGUGUGUGAAGAAGGCCUUCGGGUUGUAAAGCACUUUCAGCGGGGAGGAGGGCGGUGAGGUUAAUAACCUCAUCGAUUGACGUUACCCGCAGAAGAAGCACCGGCUAACUCCGUGCCAGCAGCCGCGGUAAUACGGAGGGUGCAAGCGUUAAUCGGAAUUACUGGGCGUAAAGCGCACGCAGGCGGUCUGUCAAGUCGGAUGUGAAAUCCCCGGGCUCAACCUGGGAACUGCAUUCGAAACUGGCAGGCUAGAGUCUUGUAGAGGGGGGUAGAAUUCCAGGUGUAGCGGUGAAAUGCGUAGAGAUCUGGAGGAAUACCGGUGGCGAAGGCGGCCCCCUGGAUAAAGACUGACGCUCAGGUGCGAAAGCGUGGGGAGCAAACAGGAUUAGAUACCCUAGUAGUC